GUGGGGAAUCUUGCGCAAUGGGCGAAAGCCUGACGCAGCCAUGCCGCGUGAAUGAUGAAGGUCUUAGGAUUGUAAAAUUCUUUCACCGGGGACGAUAAUGACGGUACCCGGAGAAGAAGCCCCGGCUAACUUCGUGCCAGCAGCCGCGGUAAUACGAAGGGGGCUAGCGUUGCUCGGAAUUACUGGGCGUAAAGGGCGCGUAGGCGGACAGUUUAGUCAGAGGUGAAAGCCCAGGGCUCAACCGUGGAAUUGCCUUUGAUACUGGCUGUCUUGAGUACGGGAGAGGUGAGUGGAACUCCGAGUGUAGAGGUGAAAUUCGUAGAUAUUCGGAAGAACACCAGUGGCGAAGGCGACUCACUGGCCCGUUACUGACGCUGAGGCGCGAAAGCGUGGGGAGCAAACAGGAUUAGAAACCCUAGUAGUCC
This 425-nucleotide ribosomal RNA is filed under the name uncultured bacterium. Its description in RNAcentral is "partial 16S ribosomal RNA". It matches the Rfam family "Bacterial small subunit ribosomal RNA", at positions 354 to 796 of the family's 1533-position model. The record is from RNAcentral.